GAUGAACGCUGGCGGCGUGCCUAAUACAUGCAAGUCGAGCGAACGGACGAGAAGCUUGCUUCUCUGAUGUUAGCGGCGGACGGGUGAGUAACACGUGGAUAACCUACCUAUAAGACUGGGAUAACUUCGGGAAACCGGAGCUAAUACCGGAUAAUAUUUUGAACCGCAUGGUUCAAAAGUGAAAGACGGUCUUGCUGUCACUUAUAGAUGGAUCCGCGCUGCAUUAGCUAGUUGGUAAGGUAACGGCUUACCAAGGCAACGAUGCAUAGCCGACCUGAGAGGGUGCUCGGCCACACUGGAACUGAGCCACGGUCCAGACUCCUACGGGAGGCACCAGUAGGGAAUCUUCCGCCAUGGGCGAAAGCCUGACGGAGCAACGCCGCGUGAGUGAUGAAGGUCUUCGGAUCGUAAAACUCUGUUAUUAGCGAAGACCAUAUGUGUAAGUAACUGUGCACAUCUUGACGUUACCUAAUCAGAAAGCCACGGCUAACUACGUG
This 497-nucleotide ribosomal RNA is filed under the name uncultured bacterium. RNAcentral describes it as "partial 16S ribosomal RNA". It matches the Rfam family "Bacterial small subunit ribosomal RNA", at positions 28 to 507 of the family's 1533-position model. The record is from RNAcentral.